Oncorhynchus mykiss (rainbow trout) is the source of this 3107-nucleotide RNA transcript. It is a transcript of the gene named extracellular tyrosine-protein kinase PKDCC, with no coding region annotated. Lineage: Eukaryota; Metazoa; Chordata; Actinopteri; Salmoniformes; Salmonidae. The record is from RefSeq and is a predicted model, not a curated record.
GAGGACCCCUGCCUGAUGCGCGCAUAGGCUACAUAAGUGGUGGGCUUUGCAGUCUGUGAAGGCAAGUGUAUCACCACGAUCAACCUUAUAUGGGGAGGAUCUUCAACCUGCUUGGCUGCAUAAAUCAUAAUCAAGAUGAAGACGUGAUCAUAGCGCAUUCGGCAUCGUUCGAGGCAUCAGUAUACCAUUAAGUUCUGACGCUCACGAUAGAACCGUGGACUCCGGGCAAGGCUACAGAGGUGGUAGACUGCUAGGCGGGGGCUGGAGGCGAAAACAGACAUAUUUUAAUGAUAUUAAUAAAACUGAUCACAAUGAAGCGCAGAAGGAUAGUGGUUGCGGCAGGUUUCUGUCUUGCCUUCUUCCUUGGUACACUGAUGAAUUUGCUGUAUAUACCAGGGUUUGAGCACCAUCAGAACCAUGACCAUAGAGUACAUCGGUACUACCACGAAAAACAGCAGCAGGUUACAGGCGAUUCGCAGCUUCAAAUCGGCGAGUCAGUCACUGAAGCUGUGGCCGAGUCCAAUAGUAAACCUGCCGUAGGAAGCAGGCAUCAUCAGGACCUUCUGCUGCAGAUACGAGAAAGAUUCGAUGAGGUUGUGCGGUACCGUCAGCGCCAAGCGCAUGGGUCUGGCACCGGAGACCCAGUCCGCCAGCUGGAGAGACGGAGGCUCAUGGAUUCAGAGCCAGGGGACAAUUGGGACCCUAUCAAAGUAAUUGAGCGAACCGAAAACCGACAGACGCAUUUUCAAAAUCGACUUUCACCUUCCAUAUACAUGCCCACAGCAUCACGGAAAGAUUUCACUAUGACUUUGAGCAGCGUUAACGGUACUCCGAUGCUUGGCUGCAGCAGCAUAGACAACGUGACCAAUGUUCAGUACCUCGGCUCAGGCUACACAAAGGCUGUCUACAAGGCGUCUCUCAACAACAGCUUGUCGGUGGCUCUGAAAUCGGUGGAUUUCGGGGGACACGAUAUGGAAAAUUGCGUAAAGAAAUAUGGUUCACCUGGAGACUGCUACAGACUGGCGUCCUUCAAAAUAGUGAAAGAAAUGACGCUGAUGGAAAGGCUACAGCACCCCAACAUUCUGAAGUUGUACGGCUACUGCUACCAAGACAGCAAUGACAUCCAGGACACGGUGACAGCCAUCACAGAGCUGGGAAGUCCUCUGGAGAUGAUCCAACUACUGCAGACCUCCUGGGAGGAACGCUUCAGGAUCUGUCUGAGUCUAGUGCGUCUGCUCCACUACCUGGCCCACUCCCCUCUGGGCUCUGUCACCCUGCUGGACUUCAGGCCUCGCCAAUUUGUCCUGGUGGCGGGGGAGCUCAAAGUCACAGACCUGGAUGACGCCAGCACAGAGGAGGCCCCCUGCUCCCCCUCCGACUGCAUCAUGGAGUUUCCCGCCCGCAACUUCACCCUCCCCUGCAGCAGAGGGCGCUGCUUGGGCAUCAACGAGAAGCGCAACCUCUACAACGCCUACAGGUUCUUCUUUACAUACUUGCUGCCUCACAGUGCCCCACCCACUCUAAGACCCCUACUGGACAAGAUAGUCAACGCCACAGGAGAGCUGAUAUGGGGGAUAGAUGAGACGCUGCUUCAGUUGGAGAAAGUAUUGCACCUGUACAGAAAUGGAUUUUACUUGCAGAACAGCACACAGACACACAUAACAGACUAUAAGCAUGUGGUGGAUGCCUCUAUUCCUGAGGAGAACUACCGCUGCUGGCCAUCCUAUCAGCACGAUGGAUGUCUGCUAUCAGUCUUCAGCAUCACAGAGGCUAUUGGUGUGUGUGAGCGCCAUGCCCAGUGCCAAGCAUUUGUAGUGACCAAUCAGACGACCUGGACAGGUAAGAGUUAAAUUUACAUUUCAGUCAUUUACCAGACACUCUUAUCCAGAGCGACUUACAGUUAGUGCAUUCAUCUUAAGAUAGCUAGGUGGGACAACCACAUAUCACAGGCAUAGAAAGUACAUUUUCCUUAAUAGCAUAGCUAUCAGUAGAGUCAGAGCUACAAGGGAUAAUUAUUAUUGAUAUUUGUUCAGGGGAGGGUGAUUGAGGUGAGGAGGAGGAAGGGGAGGAGGAUUUCGGAAGAUGGGCAGGGACUCUGUACUUGCUUCAGGGGGAAGCUGGUUCCACCAUUGGGGUGCCAGGACAGAGAAGAGCUUGGACUGGGAUAAGCGGGAGCUGCCCUCCCGUAGUUGUGGGAGGGCCAAGAGACCUGAGGUGGCAGAACAGAGUUGGAUGCGAGCUUCGACUGGGAGCCAAUGGAGUGUUCGGAGGAGCGGGUUGACAUGAGAGAACUUGGGAAGGUUAAAAUCCAGGCGGGUUAUCAUUGUAUGGUUGAAGACAAUGUGUGGGUUGCAUUCGUGUGGCUGCCUGUGUGUAUCUGUGUGUUUUGUUCAUAAAGUUCCCUGUGUGUGUGUGUGUGUGUGCGUGUGUGUGGGAGGUAAAGUACCCAGCGUUGUCAGACGUCUCUCUAUUCAAACAGAGGCAGGGCCUUCAGUACCGUCGUCUCUCAUCACUAACCCCUCCUUUCUAGUCACCAACUUGUAUUCUUCAAGACGGGCACUGCCAGUCUGAGCUCUGCCAAGGGACGGGUCACCUACGUCAGAGUGGGCAGCUGAAUCAAGGGAGGUGGAGGAGCCUUAACUGCCAAACCUCGCUCUGAUUGGCUAACCUGCUCCUGGGGCAUGCCCUCACGGCUUAGUGAGUCACCCCAUUGGAUGGGUCGGACAGAGGGAGUUGAAGAUGGAUCCUAGACAACACCCUCUAUGGGGCAUAGAGAAGCCCAAACCAGCUCACACUGAAGUGCAAUAAUAUAACUUGGAGAACAAUUUUACAAUAUUGCUCUUCAUAUGUUUCUCCGAAGGAAAAUGCUGGGUUGUGCAAGGCUAUAGCUCAGGGUAUAGUAUGGUUACCCUCCUAGCUAAGAAGGGUGACAGUGAACGCCUGAGAUUUCCCUCCUGUGCCCCCUAAACUACACUACAUUGUCAAAAGUAUGUGGACAACUGCUCAUCAAAAUCAUUGGUAUUAAUAUGGAGUUGGUCCCCCCUUUGCUGCUAUAACAGUCUCCACUCUUCUGGGAAGGCUUUCCACUAGAUGUCGGAACAUUGCUG